Molecule: unclassified non-coding RNA, 264 nt
Filed under: plant metagenome
Description: partial contains small subunit ribosomal RNA and internal transcribed spacer 1
Rfam family: Eukaryotic small subunit ribosomal RNA (bases 1-46)
Source: RNAcentral
AAGUCGUAACAAGGUUUCCGUAGGUGAACCUGCGGAAGGAUCAUUAUCGAGUUAGGGUCUUCAUGGCUGACCUCCAACCCUGUGUUUAUUAUGCCACGUUGCUUCGGCGGGUCCGUCUUUUAUCGGACCGCCGGGGGUCGGCGAGACUUCCUUCGGCCCGCGCCCGCCGAUGGCCCCCAAUAAACCAUCAAUGUCAUAACAAUCGUUUGUUUCUGCAGGGUUUCCUUUUAAAAAUUUAAAAUUUAAAAAAGCCAAAAAAGCCUU